This 439-nucleotide ribosomal RNA is filed under the name uncultured bacterium. RNAcentral's name for it is "partial 16S ribosomal RNA". It matches the Rfam family "Bacterial small subunit ribosomal RNA", at positions 339 to 795 of the family's 1533-position model. The record is from RNAcentral.
CUACGGGCGGCUGCAGUGGGGAAUAUUGGACAAUGGGGGCAACCCUGAUCCAGCCAUGCCGCGUGAGUGAUGAAGGCCCUAGGGUUGUAAAGCUCUUUCAGCGAGGAGGAUAAUGACGUUACUCGCAGAAGAAGCCCCGGCUAACUUCGUGCCAGCAGCCGCGGUAAUACGAAGGGGGCUAGCGUUGUUCGGAAUCACUGGGCGUAAAGCGCACGUAGGCGGACUGAUCAGUCAGGGGUGAAAUCCCGGGGCUCAACCCCGGAACUGCCUUUGAUACUGUCAGUCUUGAGUCCGAGAGAGGUGAGUGGAACUCCGAGUGUAGAGGUGAAAUUCGUAGAUAUUCGGAAGAACACCAGUGGCGAAGGCGGCUCACUGGCUCGGUACUGACGCUGAGGUGCGAAAGCGUGGGGAGCAAACAGGAUUAGAUACCCGUGUAGUC